GUGUCCGGCGCAACCGCAUUGAGCUCGUCGAUGGUCGGCAAUCGCUUUUCGACGAACUGAUGCUCCGUGAAACCGCCGACAACGCGGACCCACUGCGGCGGCGGCGUAAUCGCCCCCUGCCGCUUCAGNNNNNNGCGAGCGAGCGCACGCCAUCCCAGCGCAGCUCCAUGUUGAAGUUCAGCCCGCCGCGGAUGAUGUGCAGGUGAUUGUCGAUCAGGCCCGGCAACACGCGACGGCCCUUGAGGUCAAUCACGCGG
RNAcentral lists this unclassified non-coding RNA (257 nucleotides) under Hevea brasiliensis (rubber tree). Lineage: Eukaryota; Viridiplantae; Streptophyta; Magnoliopsida; Malpighiales; Euphorbiaceae. The record is from RNAcentral.